GACGAACGCUGGCGGCGUGCUUAACACAUGCAAGUCGUGCGGUAAGGCCCUGCUUUGGUGGGGUACACGAGCGGCGAACGGGUGAGUAACACGUGAGUGACCUGCCUUCAACUUUGGGAUAAGCCUCGGAAAUGGGGUCUAAUACCGGAUAUGAUUCUGCGCUUCAUGGUGUGGGGUUGAAAGCCUUUUGGGGUGGUUGGGAGUGGCGUCNCGGCCUAUCAGCUUGUUGGUGGGGUGGANGGCCUACCAAGGCGGUGACGGGUAGCCGGCCGUGAGAGGGCGACCGGCCGACACUGGGACUGAGGACACGGCCCACGACUCCUACGGGGAGGCGAGCAGUGGGGAAGUAUUGCGCAAUGGACGGAAGUCUGACGCAGCAACGCCGCGUGAGGGAUGACGGCC
This 402-nucleotide ribosomal RNA is filed under the name uncultured bacterium. RNAcentral's name for it is "bacterial SSU rRNA". It matches the Rfam family "Bacterial small subunit ribosomal RNA", at positions 28 to 416 of the family's 1533-position model. The record is from RNAcentral.